GACGAACGCUGGCGGCGUGCUUAACACAUGCAAGUCGAACGGAAAGGCCCUGCUUGCAGGGUACUCGAGUGGCGAACGGGUGAGUAACACGUGGGUGAUCUGCCCUGCACUUCGGGAUAAGCCUGGGAAACUGGGUCUAAUACCGGAUAGGAGCCAUUUUUAGUGUUAUGGUUGGAAAGUUUUUUCGGUUUAGGAUGAGCUCGCGGCCUAUCUGCUUGUUGGUGGGGUAAUGGCCUACCAAGGCGGCGACGGGUAGCCGGCCUGAGAGGGUGGACGGCCACAGGGGGACUGGGAAACGGCCCAGACCCCGACGGGGGGGAGAAGUGGGGAAGAGUGAAAAAUGGGAGGAAAGCAGAUGCAGCGACGCCGCGGGGGGGAUGACGGACUUCGGGUUGUAAACUCAUUUCGCUAGGGACGAAGCUGUUUGUGACGGUACCUAGAUAAGAAGCACCGGCUAACUACGUG
RNAcentral lists this ribosomal RNA (465 nucleotides) under uncultured bacterium. Its description in RNAcentral is "partial 16S ribosomal RNA". It matches the Rfam family "Bacterial small subunit ribosomal RNA", at positions 28 to 507 of the family's 1533-position model. The record is from RNAcentral.